RNAcentral lists this long non-coding RNA (694 nucleotides) under Suricata suricatta (meerkat). RNAcentral describes it as "lncRNA (ENSSSUG00005014831.1)". Lineage: Eukaryota; Metazoa; Chordata; Mammalia; Carnivora; Herpestidae. The record is from RNAcentral.
GCCUCUCCAACCGUAGCCUUGGCCGGCUAGACCCCCUCCGCGUCGUCCCACGCCGCUCCCCUCCCCCACUGUCGCGAAGCUCCCGCCCGAGCGGACCACGUGCCGGGAACCGGGCGGGGAGAGACCACUCUUGAACCCCUUCCGGCUUCCUCGAACACCCCAGGCUGCAGCCCAUGCUCCCUAUGCUGGGUCCUCAGGUGAACUGCACCUUGUAACAGCCUGCUCAGCCUCCCACCUGAUCCUGAUUGGGCCAUGAUCCUGGGAAGGCUGAAUCACCGCCUCCCUCCGUCCCUCCCAGGCAUGUGCCUGUGAUUCAAAUUGGACCAGACUGUUUCCCCAGACAUUGCUGAUAGCGCAAAUUGAGAGACUUGUCUAUCUGCUCUUGGCUGCCUUCCCUGGCAUGAAGGAGAAGGCUUUUUGUACAAGGAGCAACUGAGAGAAAUAAAGAGGGAAGUAGAAAAGUGAUAAAUGAUAGAUGGGAGGGAAGAAAAGAAGGAAGAAUGGAAGGAAGGAAUACAAGAAGGAAUCAAGGAAGGAAAUAUUUGAACCUCUAUCUCAUGCCUGAGAGUUAGAACUACCUCUGGACCCCCCAGUUAUAUGAGCUGAUAAAUUCCCUUAAUUAUUUUUUAUUUUUUGCUUAAACAGGUUGAUUUGGAUCUAUCACUUAUAACCAAAGCAGUCUUGAUAAUACAUG